AUUGCCUCAGUAACGGCGAGUGAAGCGGCAACAGCUCAAAUUUGAAAUCUGGCCUCGGCCCGAGUUGUAAUUUGUAGAGGAAGCUUUUGGUGCGGCACCGACCGAGUCCCCUGGAACGGGGCGCCAUAGAGGGUGAGAGCCCCGUAUGGUUGGACGCCUAUCCUCUGUAAAGCUCCUUCGACGAGUCGAGUAGUUUGGGAAUGCUGCUCAAAAUGGGAGGUAAAUUUCUUCUAAAGCUAAAUACCGGCCAGAGACCGAUAGCGCACAAGUAGAGUGAUCGAAAGAUGAAAAGCACUUUGAAAAGAGGGUUAAAUAGCACGUGAAAUUGUUGAAAGGGAAGCGCUUGUGACCAGACUUGCGCCUCGCCGAUCAUCCGGGGUUCUCCCCGGUGCACUCGGCGGGGCUCAGGCCAGCAUCGGUUUCCGCGGGGGGACAAAGGCCCCGGGAACGUAGCUCCUCCGGGAGUGUUAUAGCCCGGGGCGUAAUGCCCUCGCGGGGACCGAGGACCGCGCUUCGGCAAGGAUGCUGGCGUAAUGGUCAUCAGCGACCCGUCUUGAAACACGGACCAAGGAGUCAAGGUUUUGCGCGAGUGUCUGGGUGUAAAACCCGCACGCGUAAUGAAAGUGAACGUAGGUGAGAGCUUCGGCGCAUCAUCGACCGAUCCUGAUGUAUUCGGACGGAUUUGAGUAGGAGCGUUAAGCCUUGGACCCGAAAGAUGGUGAACUAUGCUUGGAUAGGGUGAAGCCAGAGGAAACUCUGGUGGAGGCUCGCAGCGGUUCUGACGUGCAAAUCGAUCGUCAAAUCUGAGCAU
Molecule: ribosomal RNA, 811 nt
Filed under: Podospora austroamericana
Lineage: Eukaryota; Fungi; Ascomycota; Sordariomycetes; Sordariales; Podosporaceae
Description: LSU rRNA
Rfam family: Eukaryotic large subunit ribosomal RNA
Source: RNAcentral